UGGGGAAUAUUGGACAAUGGGCGCAAGCCUGAUCCAGCCAUGCCGCGUGAGUGAUGAAGGCCCUAGGGUUGUAAAGCUCUUUCACCGGUGAAGAUAAUGACGGUAACCGGAGAAGAAGCCCCGGCUAACUUCGUGCCAGCAGCCGCGGUAAUACGAAGGGGGCUAGCGUUGUUCGGAUUUACUGGGCGUAAAGCGCACGUAGGCGGACUUUUAAGUCAGGGGUGAAAGCCCGGGGCUCAACCCCGGAACUGCCUUUGAUACUGGAAGUCUUGAGUAUGGUAGAGGUGAGUUGAAUUCCGAGUGUAGAGGUGAAAUUCGUAGAUAUUCGGAGGAACACCAGUGGCGAAUGCGGCUCACUGGACCAUUACUGACGCUGAGGUGCGAAAGCGUGGGGAGCAAACAGG
RNAcentral lists this ribosomal RNA (404 nucleotides) under Verrucomicrobiota bacterium. Its description in RNAcentral is "Verrucomicrobia bacterium partial 16S ribosomal RNA". It matches the Rfam family "Bacterial small subunit ribosomal RNA", at positions 355 to 776 of the family's 1533-position model. The record is from RNAcentral. Lineage: Bacteria; Pseudomonadati; Verrucomicrobiota.